Molecule: non-coding RNA, 775 nt
Filed under: Scolytinae sp. BMNH 1039896
Lineage: Eukaryota; Metazoa; Arthropoda; Insecta; Coleoptera; Curculionidae
Source: RNAcentral
UAAAGCGUUUCUUGCUUAUAUUUUUAUAUUUUUAUAUUUUAGAUACAAGAUAUUUCUGGAGUUAGUAACAGUUUAAAUAGGUGUUAAUUUUAAAUUGUAGUGGAUAUUUUUUUUUUAUUUUAAUAAUUUAAGAGUAAGUAAUAAAGUUUUAAUUUAAACAAAUUUUGUGCCAGCAGUAGCGGUUAAACAGAAUAUGUAAUAAAAAUUUUUCGUAAAUAGUUAAUAUUUUUUAAGUGUUUAAAAAUUAAUUUUGGAAAUUUGAUUAUAAAGUGAAAUUUGAAUCUUGUUUUAUGUUUUGUUUAUGAAACUAUUAAAUUUUUGCAUAAAACUAGGAUUAGAUACCCUAUUAUAUAAACUUAGACAAUGAAUUUUAUAUUAUUAAUAGUUAAGUUCUUGAAAGUAAAUAUAGUUGGCGGUGAUUUAUUCUAUUCAGAGGAACUUGUUUUAUAAAUGAUAAUCCACGAUUAAAUUGGCUUAAAUUUUUAGUUUGUAUAUCGCCGUGGUAGAAUAUCUUUUUAGGGGUUAAUAUUCAAAAUUUAUAUAAAAUUUAUAGCAGGUCAAGAUAUAGCUUAUAUUUAAGAAAUGAUGAGUUACAAUUAUUUUAAUAUUAGAUUAGUAAUUUAAAAAAUUCUAUGAAAUUGGAUUUGAGUGUAAAUAUAUAAAUAUAUAUAAAUUGAUUUUGGCUCUAAAUUAUGUACAUAUUGCCCGUCGCUUUCAUAUAAAAUGAAAUAAGUCGUAACAAAGUAGGUGUACUGGAAAGUGUAUCUAGAAACAG